UGGAUUCAUCUGUGUAUUGAUGGGUAUGUAGAGACAAGCUGAAUCGGUAUUAUUGUGAUCAAUACUGUUCUGUUAAUAUUUAUAUUCUCUAUGUAUGUUUUUUGCAUAUUUUCAUAUCUUUAUGUAGAUAUUCAAGACGUGUUAUAUGGCUACAUGCAGGGACCUCCAAUCGGAAUCCACGUUUCAUUGCUAGAUAUUUUCUUGAUGCUGUGGAAACAGAAAAUGGUUGUCCACGCCUUGUGAGAGCAGAUAGGGGUUGUAAAAAUUCUUUAGUUGCCAUUAUACAGAUGUCUUUUAGAUACUGUCACCAUGACAGCUUAGCAGGAGUUAACAGUUUCAGAUAUGGGAAGUCUAUACAUAAUCAACGAGCAGAGUACUUUAAUGGAUACCUAAAAAAAUCAUGGAUAUCUUUCUGGCAAAAACAUUUUGAGGCAAUGGUGGAAGCUGGAAUUUUGGAACUAUCCAAUCCCAUACAUAUACACUGUGUCCAAUAUUGCUUUUUACCUCUAAUUGAAAGGCAGCUUUACUCUGAGCGCAUUGAAUAGAACAACCACAGGAUUCGUAAGCAGACUCUAGCUUCAGGACCAUUUGGAAAACCAGACAUGCUUUAUUUUUGUCCUCCAUCCGGAACUCCACAUUUGCUGUGCACAAUUGAUGAUGAUCUUCAGCAGCAUGCAGACACUAUGGCUUGUGAAAAGGGAGCAACCCUGACUGUGGCCAAUGUUGCUUUCAGGCAGUUGUGCUCCACUGUGUUUACUCUCCCCAGAUCAAUGGAUGGUUAUUCAGUUGAUGAUGCUGUGGCUUCCUAUCUAACGACUGCAAAUCACAUCACAACCCUUAUGGUCAGAAUGAAUCUGAUUGAGCCAGAUAACUUUGUACAGGCUUUUGAAAUAUAUGAAAAAAUCAUCAAUUCUUCUCAUACUAAAUAAAUUUUGUUGUUGUGAA
This is a long non-coding RNA of Erpetoichthys calabaricus (reedfish), 945 nucleotides long. RefSeq lists it as uncharacterized. The record is from RefSeq and is a predicted model, not a curated record. The transcript has 6 exons. NCBI's taxonomy places the organism in Eukaryota, Metazoa, Chordata, Cladistia, Polypteriformes, Polypteridae.